AGUCCGGGUCAUCUCAUGCAGGUGGUCCUUGGGGCCCCUCUGUCCCUCCCCAUGCCCUGUCUCCAACAGCCAGCAACCAAAUCCUUGCCUAACAUCCUCCCAGCAGGGCUGAGUUCCCCCGGAGCUGCAGGUUAGGGCCUUAAAUCAACUACUAUGGGCCUAUGGGCCGCAGCCGAGCCUCCCUGUGUGACUAGGCCACCACUCCGUUAGACACGAGCAUCAAUUGCCGGACACGUUGCUGCAUUCAUCUGCGACCUCAGCGGGGAACCCCCACGCAGCUCUGCAUGACCCGCAGCCGCUAUGCCUCUAUGUCCCGAGGGCACGUCCUGUCUCACCAUCCACAGCCCCGCAUGGAAACAUCUGAAAAUCCUGCUUGCAGCUAUGAGUGCCGGCCCCACCCCCUGCCGGGAACCCCGGGGGCCCUCCAGAGACCCCUCCCUCUCGGCCUAUUCGGGGGACAGCACAGGGUCUCAAGGGGACUUUGCUCUCAAGGCAAACAACUACUUCUCCAAUUUAAAUGAGACCUGUGCACUAGAAGAAAAUGAUUGGUAAUACAUGUAAGCCUGCAGACGUUGGAGGGAAUAUCAAAGAGAUUUCAAGCAGCACUUUCUUGAACAAAAAUUUAUACAGCCAUGCUAUUUUAAUUCUUUAGAAAUCUUGCUUUGUAAAUGUCAUGGGAGGGUGCAGGGCUGCAAAGAGAGCUGAGGCACAAGCAUUUCCGGCAGGAGAGUGACCGGCAUGGAGCCUCCCGGCUUCUCAUUAGCCUCGGGUUCCACUCAGGUUUCUCGCAGUGCCUUUCAGAGGGAGCGCGGGUGCCCCGCAGCCCGCAGAGCUCCAAGUCUCAGUCCUGCUCUGCAGGGCAGCAGGGGUCUAAAUGUCACACCACGCACUGUGCCACUGUUGGGGCCCGGCGUGUGCGGGGCAGACGGGUUUCAGUCUGCUGCUGGGCUGUUGCAGCCCGGGCCCUGGGUUCGAUCCUUUGGACCCCAAAAUGAUAACAGCAAUAAUAACUGUCAGCGUGAAGGGCAGACAGAAGCCACGGUAAUCAUGAGGAUGCUGCCGACACAGGGGUCUGAGCCCAAGCCCCUGCCCUCCCAGCUUGGCCAAGCACUGUCCCUGCGACCUGGCAGAGGAUCUCUCUCUGAGCCGCCUGAGGCCAGGCUCCUGGUCCACCGUCAGAUGGGCAGCAGGCAGAGGAGCAGCUCAGCACCAGCUGGUCCGGCUGGCCGGCCACCCCCCACCGGAGCCCAACAUGUCAUCACCCUGCCCCAGAGUGGGGUCCCCAGGCCACAGAAAGGCUCAGCAGAGGACCCAGAAAAACCCCGACAGAGUCGGAAAUAAACAGCUCUGAGCUGAGUGCUUGUCUUUGCAAAGAACCAGCCCUUUGCCAGCCUUGUAGGUAUAGGAUUCUGCACACUUGCUUUGGUGGAUCUCACAUGAGGGACUGUGUGCAGGAUUUAAAUGUGUGCAGGGCCCUCGUCCCAGCCGUAGUCUUCAAGAGAAAGAACACAGAUCCGGGCCUUGCCAAGACUCUGUGACAACUGUGGGAAAGCUUCGACUACAGACGGUGUGUCAGGAAUUCAAUACAGUUUAUUUUAUGAAAUUUAAAACAGGAGCCAGGUAUGGUGGCAUGCACCUAUAAUCUCAGCUACUCUGGAGGCUGAAGCAGGAGGAUUGCAAAUUUGAGGCCAGCCUGGGCAAUUUAACGAGACACUUUCUCAAAAACAAAUUAAAAAAAGAUCUGGCUGCAGCUCAGUGGUGGCGCACUGGCCCAGCACGUGUGAGGCCCAAGUUCAAGGCCCGGUACAGGGGAAGGGGUGCUGGUCCUCUUGUUUUGUAAUUUAGUCAUUAUUUCCUGCUUUUCCCUUUAAUCACUCCUCUGUCUCUGCUUUAUUUUGUGGGCAUUCUACUUGCCAAUGUUGAAUGUUUGGAUUAAUAUGUGUUUAAUACUUUCUGUAAGAGAACCUAAAGCUAUAUAUUUUACUGAGCGUAGCUUUCCCCAAAUCUUAGGUAUUGGCACACAGCAGGAGUCAGGACUCGAUGGCAGCCGCCAUCUGCUCCUGUAAAUGAAGUUUUAUGGGCUCGUGGCCACACCCGCUCAUUUGCAUAUUACCCACAGCUGCUGUGGGCACCACAGUGAAGUUCAAUGGUUGCCACAGAAACCAGAGAGCUUGAGAAGCUGAUCACAUUCACCAGAGUUCCUUUGCAGGGAAGGGGCUGCUGGCCCUUAGUACAUAACAGGGUCCUGUUGUUCUCGAUCUCCUAAUAACUCAAUGGUUUUGGACCUGCCCUGGCAAGGGGGACCUGCAGGGGACCACUCGAGGAGGUGGAGUCUUCAGGGACCCUCAGGUGCCAGGGUUUAGAGUUCUGCCUGCCCCUUACUUCCCAGCACCAGAGCUGCCUAUGCUGAGAAAGCUAACAUCCGAGGAGGCACAGCUGGACGCGAGACACGCCACACUGCGCAGGGCGUUUGGGACGGAGAGUUUAUUUAGCCAUACCACGAUGAGUCCCGAGGCGCCAGAUUGUUUCCUACCUUCCCUCCACUACACUGUUCCUCCUCCUGGGACCGAGACAGGCCACGCUGAUGGAGAGCACGUGUCCGAGCUCAGGCGGAGCUGGGCGGUCUGGUAAGGUCAGCACUGGCCGAGGUGGGCGGGCAGAGCAGGGCCGCUGAGUCGGAGGCCUCGCCCAGUUCCUAGGGGCCGCCUGAGUGGGGAGCUGUCCCGGCUCCUGGUGCUGAAACCACCCUGUCCCGGCCUGACUUCUGGACAUAAGGACACUCGUUUUAUUCUCUCCAUUUGUGCCUUUGCCAUCGAUGCGAAUGCUCUGAGUUUGGAGAAAAUGUAGCCAUUUGAGCCAGGAAAAGGCAGUCACUAGGCAACAUUCUGAAAACAGGAGACCAGUGGGAUCACGUUUCACCGAGUAAAUUGACGAAAGGUCAAAAAGCUUGAUCUUGGCCACGAUGUGCCUGGUCUGAAAGCUAAACUGCCGCUGAGAUAUUUAUGGGAGAACCUGCAGCCGCAGCCCGCGGUCGCCCGAGGUCCCCGGGGAAGCAGGCCCAAGGCCCCUUAUGAGAAGUGCCCGGCUCCUCCCCUUCCGGGCGAGGCUCUGGCAGGGAGAGGUGCACUCGGCCCAGGGAGGGUCCACACAUGGUGGGUGGCCUCUCAGCCCUGUGUGUGUCUCCUGCCACCCCACGUGGCCCAGCCUCACCCUGCACCCCCAGCAGUGUGCUGCGAGGCCUGGGGAGCCCCGGCUGGCCCACAGAAUCCCCCACGAGCCACGUGUCCAGCCUCACACUGUCCAGGGGCCACCUCAUGGAGGUCAAAAGUGACAGAAUUAAUUUAACUGGAUGUAUCUGAAUGAUCAGCACUGCAAUGAGACCGACAUAAAACAAUCAGCGCUUUUGACCUGCUCUUCAGAAAGCAGUGCACAUGGAACAACCAUGCUUCUGGGCAGUGGGGCUGGGAGGGGGGAUGGACGGCACUGACAGAGCAGGAGACCCCAGCCUCGGCUGCCGGGAGGCGAACACAGCCCCCAGCUUUGCUUCCGCCCUCAACCUCAUGGUGACCUCACACUCAGGGACAAGGUGACCGACAUGCGGCCAAUGGAGCCCAGGGGUGGAGCUUCCUGGGAUGAGGAGCCCAUGUACUGGGCACAGAGGGAGACGGGAGCCCUGGGGCGGGCAUACACGGGGCGCAGUGGUGAGUCCCGCGGCUCUGGACCGGAAGGCGACCCAGACUCCGCGGCUCCACCCCCAGGCCGACACAGGAAGUGGCCAGGCUCUCACCCAGCAUGUCCACCAGUCCGCAGGAGGGCCAGCCCCGCGCGCUCCGCUGUCCCACAGCUGGAGAGGCCCCACUCACCUGCAUCUCUGACCAGCACCAAGGCUGAGGUGCCAAGUGCAAGGGCGAAUCCACGCAUGACUCAACAGCACAGCCCGUGGGCUCCUCCCGAGGUCAAGGGGAGACUUGCACUCAGGUUCCCUGGCCACCGCUCCCUGGCAGCCUCCACUGUGGGGAGCCACGCGGACCUUGGACCUCUGCAGUCCCCUCUCGGCACGAGCCAGCCUCAU
Heterocephalus glaber (naked mole-rat) is the source of this 4072-nucleotide non-coding RNA. The record is from RefSeq and is a predicted model, not a curated record. NCBI's taxonomy places the organism in Eukaryota, Metazoa, Chordata, Mammalia, Rodentia, Bathyergidae.